This 205-nucleotide long non-coding RNA is filed under the name Mytilus galloprovincialis (Mediterranean mussel). The record is from RNAcentral. Lineage: Eukaryota; Metazoa; Mollusca; Bivalvia; Mytilida; Mytilidae.
AAAGGAAAAACACAAAAAUACUGAACUCCGAGGAAAAUUCAAAAAGGAAAGUCCCAAAUCAAAUGGCAAAUUCAAAAGUUCAAACACAUCAACCGAAUGGAUAACAACUGUCAUAUUCCUGACUUGGUACAGGCAUUUUCUUAUGUAGAAAAUGGUGGAUUGAACCUGGUUUUAUAGCUAGCUAAACCUCUCACUUGUAUGACAG